Molecule: ribosomal RNA, 325 nt
Filed under: uncultured eukaryote
Lineage: Eukaryota
Description: partial 18S ribosomal RNA
Rfam family: Eukaryotic small subunit ribosomal RNA
Source: RNAcentral
UCCUUAGAUGUUCUGGGCCGCACGCGCGCUACACUGAUGCAUUCAACGAGCCUAUCCUUGACCGACAGGUCCGGGUAAUCUUUGAAUCUGCAUCGUGACGGGGAUAGAUUAUUGCAAUUAUUAAUCUUCAACGAGGAAUGCCUAGUAGGCGCAAGUCAUCAGCUUGCGUCGAUUACGUCCCUGCCCUUUGUACACACCGCCCGUCGCUCCUACCGAUUGGGUGUGCUGGUGAAAUGUUCGGAUCGGCCGUUUGUCGCGGUUUCCGCGGCUCGUGGCUGAGAAGUUCAUUAAACCCUCCCACCUAGAGGAAGGAGAAGUCGUAACA